Acanthosepion pharaonis is the source of this 109-nucleotide non-coding RNA. NCBI's taxonomy places the organism in Eukaryota, Metazoa, Mollusca, Cephalopoda, Sepiida, Sepiidae. The record is from the annotation of a GenBank genome assembly.
AUGGCUAUAUCAUAUUGAAACACCAGUUCCUGUAUGAACACUGAAGUUAGGCAACAUUGAGCCUGGUCAGUACUUAGAUGGGUGACUGCUUGGGAAUACCAGGUAUUGU